CAAAAAGUAGCUUACAAAAGCACCUGGCUUACAACCAAGAGAUGCCGUAUUAACUGCGGUCUUUUUGA
Molecule: transfer RNA, 68 nt
Filed under: Darevskia daghestanica
Lineage: Eukaryota; Metazoa; Chordata; Lepidosauria; Squamata; Lacertidae
Description: tRNA-Val
Rfam family: tRNA
About the family: Transfer RNA (tRNA) molecules are approximately 80 nucleotides in length. Their secondary structure includes four short double-helical elements and three loops (D, anti-codon, and T loops).
Source: RNAcentral